UAAUGGUAGGUCCGGUCCUUUGUAUAUUCUGGUUUCUUUACGAAAAUGAGUUAUUUGUACCAGUUAACUGUAAUUUUGGUAAUAAAGGGUAGGGAGGAAUGAGCUUCUUAUCUGUUGUUUUUGUUAAGUACUUUUAUUGUAAGUCAUUAGAAGUGGGCUUAAAGUCAGCCAUCUUGGUAUAACGUUAAAGUAAUAAUGAUUUUGUAUUUAUAUUUUUAAAGUAUCUUGCUGUUUUUAGUAAAGAAUUUCGUUUAUUGUUUAAGCGAAAGAUAGAAUGUUUAUAUAAGUAAAAUUAGAGUUUUUUUUUAAUCUUAAAUAAAAUAAAGUUUUUAAGUAUUAGAAGGCGUUUAGAAGGAACUCGGCAAAUAUUAUCUCCGCCUGUUUAUCAAAAACAUGUCUGUGUGUAUAAGUUAUAAAGUCUAGCCUGCCCACUGAUUGAUUUAAAGGGCCGCGGUAAUUUGACCGUGCGAAGGUAGCAUAGUCAGUAGUCUUUUAAUUGAAGGCUUGAAUGAAAGGUUGGACGAGGGAUGAGCUGUCUCCUUUAUGUAAUUUGAAUUUAACUUUUGAGUGAAAAGGCUCAAAUUAUUUAGUGGGACGAUAAGACCCUAUAAAACUUUAUAUAAGUUUAAUUUGGCUUACAAUUUGAGUGAAAAGUAGCUUUAUUAGGCUUAUAUUUCGUUGGGGAGAUGUAGAUAUAAUGUGUAACUGUCUAUUUAAUUUAAUAAUUAUAAUUAGUGUGUGAUCCUUCUUUGUGGAUUAAAAGUAUAAGUUACUUUAGGGAUAACAGCGUGAUUUUCUUUGAGAGUUCUUAUCGACAAGAGUAGUACGACCUCGAUGUUGAAUUAAAAUUUCAGGGUAGGGGUUAAGCCC
RNAcentral lists this ribosomal RNA (870 nucleotides) under Macrobrachium nipponense. RNAcentral's name for it is "partial 16S ribosomal RNA". The stretch from base 334 to 581 matches the Rfam family "Archaeal large subunit ribosomal RNA", at positions 1785 to 2143 of the family's 2987-position model. Lineage: Eukaryota; Metazoa; Arthropoda; Malacostraca; Decapoda; Palaemonidae. The record is from RNAcentral.